RNAcentral lists this ribosomal RNA (1799 nucleotides) under Salmonella enterica. RNAcentral's name for it is "partial 23S ribosomal RNA". It matches the Rfam family "Bacterial large subunit ribosomal RNA", at positions 1 to 2312 of the family's 2925-position model. Lineage: Bacteria; Pseudomonadati; Pseudomonadota; Gammaproteobacteria; Enterobacterales; Enterobacteriaceae. The record is from RNAcentral.
CGCUUUGCGCGACAGCGCAAAGGCAGGCGGUUUCGCGUAGCGAAAGCGAAUGCUUUGGGGUGGGGUGACUGCGUACCUUUUGUAUAAUGGGUCAGCGACUUAUAUUCUGUAGCAAGGUUAACCGAAUAGGGGAGCCGGAGGGAAACCGAGUCUUAAUUGGGCGUUAAGUUGCAGGGUAUAGACCCGAAACCCGGUGAUCUAGCCAUGGGCAGGUUGAAGGUUGGGUAACACUAACUGGAGGACCGAACCGACUAAUGUUGAAAAAUUAGCGGAUGACCUGUGGCUGGGGGUGAAAGGCCAAUCAAACCGGGAGAUAGCUGGUUCUCCCCGAAAGCUAUUUAGGUAGCGCCUCGUGAAUUCAUCUCCGGGGGUAGAGCACUGUUUCGGCUAGGGGGCCAUCCCGGCUUACCAACCCGAUGCAAACUGCGAAUACCGGAGAAUGUUAUCACGGGAGACACACGGCGGGUGCUAACGUCCGUCGUGAAGAGGGAAACAACCCAGACCGCCAGCUAAGGUCCCAAAGUCAUGGUUAAGUGGGAAACGAUGUGGGAAGGCCCAGACAGCCAGGAUGUUGGCUUAGAAGCAGCCAUCAUUUAAAGAAAGCGUAAUAGCUCACUGGUCGAGUCGGCCUGCGCGGAAGAUGUAACGGGGCUAAACCAUGCACCGAAGCUGCGGCAGCGACACUGUGUGUUGUUGGGUAGGGGAGCGUUCUGUAAGCCUGUGAAGGUGUGUCGUGAGGCAUGCUGGAGGUAUCAGAAGUGCGAAUGCUGACAUAAGUAACGAUAAAGCGGGUGAAAAGCCCGCUCGCCGGAAGACCAAGGGUUCCUGUCCAACGUUAAUCGGGGCAGGGUGAGUCGACCCCUAAGGCGAGGCCGAAAGGCGUAGUCGAUGGGAAACGGGUUAAUAUUCCCGUACUUGGUGUUACUGCGAAGGGGGGACGGAGAAGGCUAUGUUGGCCGGGCGACGGUUGUCCCGGUUUAAGCGUGUAGGUGUGUGUUCCAGGUAAAUCCGGUUCACUUUAACACUGAGGCGUGACGACGAGGCACUACGGUGCUGAAGCAACAAAUGCCCUGCUUCCAGGAAAAGCCUCUAAGCAUCAGGUAACAUCAAAUCGUACCCCAAACCGACACAGGUGGUCAGGUAGAGAAUACCAAGGCGCUUGAGAGAACUCGGGUGAAGGAACUAGGCAAAAUGGUGCCGUAACUUCGGGAGAAGGCACGCUGACACGUAGGUGAAGUGAUUUACUCAUGGAGCUGAAGUCAGUCGAAGAUACCAGCUGGCUGCAACUGUUUAUUAAAAACACAGCACUGUGCAAACACGAAAGUGGACGUAUACGGUGUGACGCCUGCCCGGUGCCGGAAGGUUAAUUGAUGGGGUCAGCGCAAGCGAAGCUCCUGAUCGAAGCCCCGGUAAACGGCGGCCGUAACUAUAACGGUCCUAAGGUAGCGAAAUUCCUUGUCGGGUAAGUUCCGACCUGCACGAAUGGCGUAAUGAUGGCCAGGCUGUCUCCACCCGAGACUCAGUGAAAUUGAACUCGCUGUGAAGAUGCAGUGUACCCGCGGCAAGACGGAAAGACCCCGUGAACCUUUACUAUAGCUUGACACUGAACAUUGAGCCUUGAUGUGUAGGAUAGGUGGGAGGCUUUGAAGUGUGGACGCCAGUCUGCAUGGAGCCGACCUUGAAAUACCACCCUUUAAUGUUUGAUGUUCUAACGUGGACCCGUUACCCGGGUUGCGGACAGUGUCUGGUGGGUAGUUUGACUGGGGCGGUCUCCUCCUAAAGAGUAACGGAGGAGCACG